This 807-nucleotide non-coding RNA is filed under the name Spiniphilus spinicornis. Lineage: Eukaryota; Metazoa; Arthropoda; Insecta; Coleoptera; Vesperidae. The record is from RNAcentral.
CAUAUGUUUAUAUUUGAUUUAGUUGAAAUUAAAGUUUUAUCUUUGCUUGGAAAUAGGAUUGAAUUUAGGAUUACAUGUGAGCUUCAGCUUGAGGGGAGUUUUUGUCUAAAGGACAGGAGUUAGAGGAUUUAUUCGCAGUAGUUAAUAUUAAAUAUUAGGGGGACUUAGAUUUAGUUAUGAUUUAUUGGUGUUAACAUAAUUUGUGCCAGCAGUUGCGGUUAUACAAGUAACACUAUUUUAUUUUUUUGGUUCUAAUUAGGCAGUAAUUAUUGGCUGGGGAGAUGUUUUUAUGAGGUGAAAUCUUAAUAGCUUUCAAGGUUGAUUUGUUUUGCUGAGGUUGGUAAAUUUUGGUUUUAAACUAGGAUUAGAUACCCUAUUAUUCAGAAUGUGAAUUCUGUGCUAGAAUAUUAAUAGUUAUGAUCUUUAAAAUCAAAGGUUUUGGCGGUAUUUUAGUCUAUUCAGAGGAACCUGUUCUGUUAUCGAUGGUCCACGAUUAGUAUUACUUUUACUUUAAGUUUGUAUAUCGUCGUUGUUUGAAUUUCCUAGUAGGGCUUGAAUGUUCAGAAUAAAUGAUUGUUUGGGAAAUCAGAUCAAGAUGCAGCGUAUGUAAGAGGAGAAAUGGGUUACAUUAAAUUUAUUUUUAGGACUGUAUUAUUAAGUAAUAUGAGAAUUUGGAUUUGAGGGUAAAUUUCUAUAUAUUCGGAAAUUGAUUAAGCUCUAGAGUAUGCACAUAUCGCCCGUCACUUUCACUCUAAGGUGGGAUAAGUCGUAACAAAGUGGGCCUACUGGAAGGUGGGCCUGGGAUGU